Molecule: unclassified non-coding RNA, 207 nt
Filed under: Hevea brasiliensis (rubber tree)
Lineage: Eukaryota; Viridiplantae; Streptophyta; Magnoliopsida; Malpighiales; Euphorbiaceae
Source: RNAcentral
AGGAGAGAGAAUUAAGGCCAAACGGAUCUCAAACAAUUUCCGAUAAAGCUACUUCCGUCCUGGAAAGCUUCAAGAGAGUUCUUCACAAUAAAAACGAUGGCGUUUGGAAGGAAUUUGCAGCGUUUUGGGCACCGGCGAAGUUGCAGAUGGCCGGAGGGAGGAAGAAAACGGGGAGAGUAAGUGGGUGUCGUGUGGAUUACCAAUGAA